RNAcentral lists this unclassified non-coding RNA (351 nucleotides) under soil metagenome. Its description in RNAcentral is "partial contains 5.8S ribosomal RNA, internal transcribed spacer 2, and large subunit ribosomal RNA". The stretch from base 1 to 121 matches the Rfam family "5.8S ribosomal RNA", at positions 35 to 154 of the family's 154-position model. The record is from RNAcentral.
GAUGAAGAACGCAGCGAAAUGCGAUAAGUAAUGCGAAUUGCAGAAUUUCCGUGAGUCAUCGAAUCUUUGAACGCACAUUGCGCCCGCCAGUAUUCUGGCGGGCAUGCCUGUCCGAGCGUCAUUUCAACCCUCGAACCCCUCCGGGGGGUCGGCGUUGGGGAUCGGCCCUUUACGGGGCCGGCCCCGAAAUACAGUGGCGGUCUCGCCGCAGCCUCUCCUGCGCAGUAGUUUGCACACUCGCAUCGGGAGCGCGGCGCGUCCACAGCCGUUAAACACCCCAAACUUCUGAAAUGUUGACCUCGGAUCAGGUAGGAAUACCCGCUGAACUUAAGCAUAUCAAUAAGCGGAGGA